Molecule: ribosomal RNA, 460 nt
Filed under: uncultured bacterium
Lineage: Bacteria
Description: partial 16S ribosomal RNA
Rfam family: Bacterial small subunit ribosomal RNA
Source: RNAcentral
CCUACGGGUGGCUGCAGUGAGGAAUAUUGGUCAAUGGACGAGAGUCUGAACCAGCCAAGUAGCGUGAAGGAUGACUGCCCUAGGGGUGGUAAACUCCUUCUAUAAAGGAAUAAAACGAGGCUAGUGUGCCUUUUUGCAUGGACUUUAUGCAUAAGAAUCGGCUAACUCAGUGCCAGCAGCCGCGGUAAUACGGAGGAUGCGAGCGUUAGCCGGAUUGAUUGGGUGUAAAGGGAGCGUAGAUGGGUUGUUAAGUCAGUUGUGAAAGUUUGCGUCUCAACCGUGAAAUUGCAAUUGAUACUGGCGAGCUUGAGUACAGUUGAGGUCGGCGGAAUUCGUGGUGUAGCGGUGAAAUGCUUAGAUAUCACGAAGAACCCCGAUGGCGAAGGCAGCUUACUGAACUGUGACUGACGUUGAUGCUCGAAAGUGUGGGUAGCAAACAGGAUUAGAUACCCCAGUAGUC